UGGGGAAUAUUGCACAAUGGGCGAAAGCCUGAUGCAGCGACGCCGCGUGAGGGAUGACGGCCUUCGGGUUGUAAACCUCUUUCAGCAGGGACCAAGCGUGAGUGAGUGUACCUGCAGAAGAAGCACCGGCUAACUACGUGCCAGCAGCCGCGGUAAUACGUAGGGUGCGAGCGUUGUCCGGAUUUAUUGGGCGUAAAGGGCUCGUAGGCGGCCUGUCGCGUCGGAAGUGAAAGCCCACUGCUUAACGGUGGGUCUGCUUCCGGUACGGGCAGGCUGGAGUAUGGCAGGGGAGACUGGAAUUCCUGGUGUAGCGGUGGAAUGCGCAGAUAUCAGGAGGAACACCGGUGGCGAAGGCGGGUCUCUGGGCCAUUACUGACGCUGAGGAGCGAAAGCGUGGGGAGCGAACAGGAUUAGAUACCCCCGUAGUCC
This 429-nucleotide ribosomal RNA is filed under the name uncultured bacterium. RNAcentral describes it as "bacterial SSU rRNA". It matches the Rfam family "Bacterial small subunit ribosomal RNA", at positions 355 to 796 of the family's 1533-position model. The record is from RNAcentral.